UCUGCCCCUAGAGACAUUGCAGGUGUGGCUGCUGUGUCGCAUGUGUGUCAGUAGGUGGCAGAGAUGAGAGAGGCUCUGUCUAUGCUCAUUGUUCUAACCUAUGGACAUUUGAAUGACAUUCCUGGAAAA
Molecule: small nucleolar RNA, 129 nt
Organism: Mastomys coucha (southern multimammate mouse)
Lineage: Eukaryota; Metazoa; Chordata; Mammalia; Rodentia; Muridae
Product: small nucleolar RNA SNORA17
Exons: 1
Source: RefSeq, a predicted model, not a curated record